AACGAACGCUGGCGGCAGGCUUAACACAUGCAAGUCGAACGGGUGUAGCAAUACAUCAGUGGCAGACGGGUGAGUAACACGUGGGAACCUUCCUAGGGGUACGGAACAACUCAGGGAAACUUGAGCUAAUACCGUAUACGUCCGUAAGGAGAAAGAUUCAUCGCCCCUAGACGGGCCCGCGUCGGAUUAGGUAGUUGGUGGGGUAACGGCCUACCAAGCCUACGAUCCGUAGCUGAUCUGAGAGGANGAUCAGCCACACUGGGACUGAGACACGGCCCAGGCUCCUACGGGAGACAGCAGGUAGGGGAAUCUUGGACAAUGGGCGCAAGCCUGAUCCAGCCAUGCCGCGUGAGUGAAGAAGCC
This 363-nucleotide ribosomal RNA is filed under the name uncultured bacterium. RNAcentral describes it as "bacterial SSU rRNA". It matches the Rfam family "Bacterial small subunit ribosomal RNA", at positions 29 to 415 of the family's 1533-position model. The record is from RNAcentral.